This 503-nucleotide ribosomal RNA is filed under the name uncultured bacterium. RNAcentral describes it as "partial 16S ribosomal RNA". It matches the Rfam family "Bacterial small subunit ribosomal RNA", at positions 30 to 523 of the family's 1533-position model. The record is from RNAcentral.
AUUGAACGCUGGCGGCAUGCCUUACACAUGCAAGUCGAACGGCAGCAUGGAAGAGCUUGCUCUUCUGAUGGCGAGUGGAACGGGCGAGUAAAGCAUCGGAACGUACCGUGUAGUGGGGGAUAACGUAGCGAAAGUUACGCUAAUACCGCAUACGCACUGAGGUGGAAAGCAGGGGAUCGCAAGACCUUGCGCUAUACGAGCGGCCGAUGUCAGAUUAGCUAGUUGGUAGGGUAAAGGCCUACCAAGGCGACGAUCUGGAGCGGGUCUGAGAGGAUGAUCCGCCACAGUGGGACUGAGACACGGCCAGACUCCUACGGGAGGCAGCAGUGGGGAAUUUUGGACAAUGGGGGAAACCCUGAUCCAGCCAUGCCGCGUGAGUGAAGAAGGCCUUCGGGUUGUAAAGCUCUUUCGGCUGGGAAGAAAUCGCACAGGCUAAUACUCUGUGUGGAUGACGGUACCAGCAUAAGAAGCACCGGCUAACUACGUGCCAGCCGCCGCCGUAA